GACGAACGCUGGCGGCGUGCUUAACACAUGCAAGUCGAACGGAAAGGCCCUGCUUUUGUGGGGUGCUCGAGUGGCGAACGGGUGAGUAACACGUGAGUAACCUGCCCUUGACUUUGGGAUAACUUCAGGAAACUGGGGCUAAUACCGGAUAGGAGCUCCUGCUGCAUGGUGGGGGUUGGAAAGUUUCGGCGGUUGGGGAUGGACUCGCGGCUUAUCAGCUUGUUGGUGGGGUAGUGGCUUACCAAGGCUUUGACGGGUAGCCGGCCUGAGAGGGUGACCGGCAACAUUGGGACUGAGAUACGGCCCAGACUCCUACGGGAGGCAGCAGUGGGGAAUAUUGCACAAUGGGCGGAAGCCUGAUGCAGCAACGCCGCGUGCGGGAUGACGGCCUUCGGGUUGUAAACCGCUUUCGCCUGUGGCGAAGCGUGAGUGACGGUAAUGGGUAAAGAAGCACCGGCUAACUACGUG
Molecule: ribosomal RNA, 468 nt
Filed under: uncultured bacterium
Lineage: Bacteria
Description: partial 16S ribosomal RNA
Rfam family: Bacterial small subunit ribosomal RNA
Source: RNAcentral